RNAcentral lists this ribosomal RNA (253 nucleotides) under uncultured bacterium. RNAcentral's name for it is "partial 16S ribosomal RNA". It matches the Rfam family "Bacterial small subunit ribosomal RNA", at positions 524 to 776 of the family's 1533-position model. The record is from RNAcentral.
UACGUAGGGUGCGAGCGUUAAUCGGAAUUACUGGGCGUAAAGCGUGCGCAGGCGGUGAUGCAAGGCAGAUGUGAAAUCCCCGGGCUCAACCUGGGAACUGCAUUUGUGACUGCAUCGCUGGAGUGCGGCAGAGGGGGAUGGAAUUCCGCGUGUAGCAGUGAAAUGCGUAGAUAUGCGGAGGAACACCGAUGGCGAAGGCAAUCCCCUGGGCCUGCACUGACGCUCAUGCACGAAAGCGUGGGGAGCAAACAGG